This 89-nucleotide non-coding RNA is filed under the name uncultured Dysosmobacter sp. RNAcentral's name for it is "Cyclic di-GMP-I riboswitch". It matches the Rfam family "c-di-GMP-I riboswitch aptamer". Rfam says of the family: GEMM was predicted in a large-scale screen for bacterial structured RNA regulatory elements. Genes associated with GEMM are involved in a diverse array of functions, including chemotaxis regulation, signal transduction, secretion and chitin. The record is from RNAcentral. Lineage: Bacteria; Bacillati; Bacillota; Clostridia; Eubacteriales; Oscillospiraceae.
GAAACGGCAAACCGGCGGAAACGCCGGGACGCAAAGCCAGGGGACUAAAGCAGAGGGAAGACCCGCUGCCAGGUCAGCCCAGCUGCCAA